AAGACCUUGCACUUUUGGAGCGGCCGAUGUCUGAUUAGCUAGUUGGUGGGGUAAUGGCCUACCAAAGCUUCGAUCAGUAGCUGGUCUGAGAGGACGGCCAGCCACACUGGGACUGAGACACGGCCCAGACUCCUACGGGAGGCAGCAGUGGGGAAUUUUGGACAAUGGGCGCAAGCCUGAUCCAGCCAUGCCGCGUGAGUGAAGAAGGCCUUCGGGUUGUAAAGCUCAUUCAGCCGGGAAGAAAAGGUUGCGACUAAUAAUCGCAAUUCAUGACGGUACCGAAAGAAGAAGCACCGGCUAACUACGUGCCAGCAGCCGCGGUAAUACGUAGGGUGCGAGCGUUAAUCGGAAUUACUGGGCGUAAAGGGUGCGCAGGCGGUUUUGUAAGUCAGAUGUGAAAUCCCCGGGCUUAACCUGGGAACU
This 423-nucleotide ribosomal RNA is filed under the name uncultured bacterium. RNAcentral's name for it is "bacterial SSU rRNA". It matches the Rfam family "Bacterial small subunit ribosomal RNA", at positions 207 to 622 of the family's 1533-position model. The record is from RNAcentral.